CAAACAUUCAUUUUGAUACAAAAUUAAUCAUUACAAUUAUAGAAGAAUGGUCAAAAUAAAACAGAUGCAGCAUCUUUCUUACAAUGCCAACAAAUGGCUACAAUCGCAUGAUUUAAAAGCAACAUUCGGUUUUGCUUCAAUAAUAAGUAUAUACAUGCAGCAACUAAUAAUGUCAAUUUUAUUGUUUUUCAAAACUGCACCAAUAUGUAAUUCACUAAGAUUUCAUUACAUCGGUUUCUUGUUACAGAUAUAUUCUGUUGUCUGGUUUACAAGUUAUUAGCUUUCUUGAAUUGCUAGCAUCGCAGAUUUCAUAAAACCUUUAAAUUCAAAGUUCUUCAUUAACAUAAUAAAUUUAAUACUAGAUUUCUAAACAUUUUUAUUUAUUGUAAGAUCUAACAGCAUCGGAAUUUAUAAUGAACUCAUCAAAUCAAUUAUGUCAUCACCACUAACUUGUAUUGCCCUGACACUUGUGCAAAUAUUCUGAUCUUCCUAUAUUAUCCAAUAUUAUCACCAGUCACCAUAUUAUCAGCAAAUUGACCAGAAUAUGUGUUCACUUAGUUGUUUGAAGUACUGUAGAUGCCAUGCAUCACUAUGAUUUUGAAUUGUGCUUUUAUCUGCAAAUUGUUUAAAAUUAAGAACCAAAUAUUUACUGGCAGCUCACAAGACUGAUACAUUGUAAAUGAUGCAGGUAUAAAUUUAACCCAUUAAGCGGCAGAGCUUCCCCAUUGACGGGUAAAAUCGUCUGGCAUUAGACAAGUAAAAGAAAUAAGUAGGGUGCACUGGGGGCCUGGGGCGCAUUGCAGCUCAUUAGGUUAAACAACACAUUUUACUGUGGCAAUAAAAGUAUGAACAUGCUACUCAAUUGACACUGCUGUUAUUAAGUGCUGAAAAGAAAUGUUGAAACUUGUCGACCUCAUCAUAUUAUGACUGUAGGUUUUCUUCAUAUAUACUCUCGCAACUGCAACGGUCAGUGUUUUAUUGUGAUUGCACUAAUUUUCAGGGACGUAGCAAAGCAUCUGAAGUUUGGG
This is a non-coding RNA of Paramuricea clavata, 1028 nucleotides long. NCBI's taxonomy places the organism in Eukaryota, Metazoa, Cnidaria, Anthozoa, Malacalcyonacea, Plexauridae. The record is from the annotation of a GenBank genome assembly.